UAAUCAAAUAAUUCAUAGUAGGAUCAUCGGGUUGAAUUUCUAAACAAUCCAUCAUCUAUUUAUACAAUAGAGAACACAAUGGAGUAAUGUUUCUGACCAACAAUUGCUUCAAACAAUUGAUUAAAAGACUAUAUUGAUGGGGUAGAUAGUCUCUGAAGCAUUUGAUCUAACAAAUAAUGGGCAUCUUCAAUUUUACAAAAUCCUAAGAUACAACACUCUUUAAUCAUCAUAUUUCUGGAAUUGGGUUGUGAAUGAUUCAACACCAACAAAAAUCCCUUCAGCAAACCCCCUUUUAAACCAAUAAUCUUCGACGAUCAACCAUCGAUUUUAUAAAAAAAAUUAAUUUUUUGGUUUGAAUGGUAAGUGAUUUGUUGGAAAAUAAACCCUCUUACACAAGAACCCCAUUUCUCCAAAGAACUUCUUAACCACACACUUGUGUUCCUGAACUUGUUGUGAUUUUGAUGCAAUAUAGAAUAUACAGAAUUAAAACCCUAGAAAACUCUUAAAACACUUUGUAAGAAAGAGAAGAAGAAAAAUCACUAACCUGCGCAGGUAGCAAAAAUAAACCAACCAACGACUUCUCCGAUGGAAUUUCUAGAGUCUUAGGUUAAUGGAAGAAUAGAUAUAGAAGUUUGAAGAAUAGAUUUGUUUAUUUUCUUCUAAAUACUUCUUCUAAAUACUGUUAAUGGUUUAACAAAGAUUGUUUUUUUGACACAGAUAGCAAAUUUCAAUCUCUCUCUUCAAUAAAAGAUUUUGUCUUCGAUCAGUUAAAAAUUCGUGGAGAGAGAAAGGGGAGAAGACAAUGGAAUAGGGCUUUUAUUUUUAUUUUAAUUUAUUAUGAUACGUUAAAUUCCGACCAUUUAUUUUCAAUCUCA
Molecule: long non-coding RNA, 875 nt
Filed under: Aquilegia coerulea
Lineage: Eukaryota; Viridiplantae; Streptophyta; Magnoliopsida; Ranunculales; Ranunculaceae
Description: long non-coding RNA (ACOE_LNC002345)
Source: RNAcentral